UACACACCGCCCGUCACACCAUGGGAGUCGUUUGUCUCCAGAAGUGGCUGCGCCAACCCGCAAGGGAGGCAGGUCCCCAAGGAGUGACCGGUAACUGGGGUG
This 102-nucleotide ribosomal RNA is filed under the name uncultured bacterium. RNAcentral describes it as "partial 16S ribosomal RNA". It matches the Rfam family "Bacterial small subunit ribosomal RNA", at positions 1384 to 1482 of the family's 1533-position model. The record is from RNAcentral.